This 72-nucleotide transfer RNA is filed under the name Bos taurus (domestic cattle). It matches the Rfam family "tRNA". From Rfam's summary of the family: Transfer RNA (tRNA) molecules are approximately 80 nucleotides in length. Their secondary structure includes four short double-helical elements and three loops (D, anti-codon, and T loops). The record is from Rfam by way of RNAcentral. RNAcentral also lists the same sequence under 3 other names. Lineage: Eukaryota; Metazoa; Chordata; Mammalia; Artiodactyla; Bovidae.
UCCUUGGUGGCUCAGAUGGUAAAGCAUCUGCCUGCAGUGCAGAAGACCUGGGUUCGAUCCCUGGGUCAGGAA